Molecule: long non-coding RNA, 915 nt
Filed under: Homo sapiens (human)
Lineage: Eukaryota; Metazoa; Chordata; Mammalia; Primates; Hominidae
Description: HSALNT0349342
Source: RNAcentral
UUCAUCCCCUUGGAGUACCAGCCUUAAGUCGGUGGGGUCACCAGGGCUCUUCUUCUCGGAGGGCCCAUGACUUCCUCCACCAUGAAACUGUCACAAAAUCCUUAGCAUCUCAUCGCUUAGGCAAAAGCAGCUUCAAAUGCCGGACUCAUAGUCAUGGAUUUCCAUUCCCCUCUGCUCCCUACCAGAACUGUGCUUAUAAACUGCAAAGGGCUGACUUCUCUCUAAUCUGAGGGGAUGUUCCAGCUCAACAAAUGGAAAAUAAAGCCAUAUUCAGUAGCAGCCAAGGAGUCAAGGAGCUGUCAUUUACCAACAGGGUCCUCAAACAUGGAAGAAUGAACACAACAUUUAGACAAUAUAAUUUUGUUUCUUAAAUGGAAUGUCCAAUAUACAAGCAAGUUUAAAAAUGUUCACAUGAAAAGACAAAAUAAGCAAAUGUGGAAGACUAAAUCCUGCGGAGCAGGCUCACAGCACAGGGCUGCUUACGGAGAAGACAAGACGACAGGAUGCACGAGGAGAGUGUGUGACAAUGUGAUUCCCCAGCAGAUGACCUACAGUAAUGACACAGUACAGAGGGUGUCCAAAGAAACAUUGUAAGGGGCCCAUGGGGCUGUGAAGCAUUGAGAAAUCUGAGCUGAGCUCUCACCAGCCUGGUAAAUUCCACUGGCACCAAGAUGCUGAGCCAAUUUAAAUGCAAAGCAAAAAACUUGCAAUGUUUGCCAGACUCUUUAAAAUGUAAUUAUAGCAACCCAUUCAAGGAUCAGUUUAACGUAUAAGCAACUUGGAGAAGACUGCUGAUCCCAUUCAAACAUUUUACAUUCCACAUACCUACGCAAUGACAUUACCUGGAGGAUGUACUUUCUUAAUUAAAAAAAAAAGUUUUCCCCUCACAUUUUGAAAAGUAUGUUGUUAUUAAAU